Molecule: ribosomal RNA, 253 nt
Filed under: uncultured bacterium
Lineage: Bacteria
Description: partial 16S ribosomal RNA
Rfam family: Bacterial small subunit ribosomal RNA
Source: RNAcentral
UACGUAGGGUCCGAGCGUUGUCCGGAAUUACUGGGCGUAAAGAGCUCGUAGGUGGUUUGUCGCGUUGUUCGUGAAAACUCACAGCUCAACUGUGGGCGUGCGGGCGAUACGGGCAGACUUGAGUACUGCAGGGGAGACUGGAAUUCCUGGUGUAGCGGUGGAAUGCGCAGAUAUCAGGAGGAACACCGGUGGCGAGGGCGGGUCUCUGGGCAGUAACUGACGCUGAGGAGCGAAAGCGUGGGGAGCGAACAGG